CCUACGGGCGGCAGCAGUGGGGAAUAUUGCACAAUGGGGGAAACCCUGAUGCAGCGACGCCGCGUGAGUGAAGAAGUAAUUCGUUAUGUAAAGCUCUAUCAGCAGGGCAGAAAAUGACGGUACCUGAGUAAGCAGCCCCGGCUAACUACGUGCCAGCAGCCGCGGUAAUACGUAGGGGGCAAGCGUUAUCCGGAUUUACUGGGGGUAAAGGGAGCGUAGACGGCAGUGCCAGUCGGGAGUGAAAGGCUGGGGCUCAAACCCAGAACUGCUCUGGAAACUGUACGGCUGGAGUGCAGGAGAGGUAAGUGGAAUUCCUAGUGUAGCGGUGAAAGGCGUAGAUAUUAGGAGGAACACCAGUGGCGAAGGCGGCUUACGGGACUGUAACUGACGUUGAGGCGCGAAAGCGUGGGGAGCAAACAGGAUUAGAGACCCCAGUAGUC
Molecule: ribosomal RNA, 440 nt
Filed under: uncultured bacterium
Lineage: Bacteria
Description: partial 16S ribosomal RNA
Rfam family: Bacterial small subunit ribosomal RNA
Source: RNAcentral